GGGAAUUUUACGCAAUGGGGGAAACCCUGACGUAGCGACACCGCGUGAGCGAAGAAGCCUUUUGGGGUGUAAAGCUCUGUCAGCUGGAACGAACACAAUGACGGUACCAGCAGAGGAAGCAUCGGCUAACUACGUGCCAGCAGCCGCGGUAAGACGUAGGAUGCAAGCGUUGUCCGGAUUCAUUGGGCGUAAAGAGUUCGUAGGUGGUCUGUUAAGUUUGGUGUUAAAGAGCGGGGCCCAACCCCGAUAGUGCACUGAAUACUGGCAGACUUGAGUGCGGUAGAGGUAAGUGGAAUUCCAAGUGUAGCGGUGAAAUGCAUAGAUAUUUGGAAGAACACCAGUGGCGUAAGCGACUUACUGGGCCGUAACUGACACUGAGGAACGAAAGCCGGGGUAGCGAAUG
RNAcentral lists this ribosomal RNA (403 nucleotides) under uncultured bacterium. Its description in RNAcentral is "bacterial SSU rRNA". It matches the Rfam family "Bacterial small subunit ribosomal RNA", at positions 357 to 774 of the family's 1533-position model. The record is from RNAcentral.